RNAcentral lists this ribosomal RNA (253 nucleotides) under uncultured bacterium. RNAcentral's name for it is "partial 16S ribosomal RNA". It matches the Rfam family "Bacterial small subunit ribosomal RNA", at positions 524 to 776 of the family's 1533-position model. The record is from RNAcentral.
UACGAAGGGGGCUAGCGUUGCUCGGAAUUACUGGGCGUAAAGCGCACGUAGGCGGCUUUCUAAGUCGGUGGUGAAAUCCUGGAGCUCAACUCCAGAACUGCCUUCGAAACUGGAGAGCUUGAGUCCGGGAGAGGUGAGUGGAACUGCGAGUGUAGAGGUGAAAUUCGUAGAUAUUCGCAAGAACACCAGUGGCGAAGGCGGCUCACUGGCCCGGUACUGACGCUGAGGUGCGAAAGCGUGGGGAGCAAACAGG